This 380-nucleotide ribosomal RNA is filed under the name uncultured eukaryote. Its description in RNAcentral is "partial 18S ribosomal RNA". It matches the Rfam family "Eukaryotic small subunit ribosomal RNA", at positions 592 to 975 of the family's 1831-position model. The record is from RNAcentral.
CAAUAGCGUAUAUUAAAGCUGUUGCGGUUAAAAAGCUCGUAGUUGGAUUUCUGUCAAGGACAACUGGUCCGCCCUCCGGGUGAGCACAUAGUUUGGUCUUGGCAUCUUGCUGGAAACUGUUGCUGCACUUGACUGUGUGGCGCAGCGUCCAGCACUUUCACUUUGAGGAAAUUGGAGUGUUUCAAGCAGGCACAUGCCUUUGGACACAGUAGCAUGGAAUAAUUAGAUUGGGCUUUUGCUCCAAUUUGUCGGUUUCUGGAGCUGAGGUGAGAAUUAAUGGGGAUUGUUGGGGGCAUCCGAAUUUAGCCGUCAGAGGUGAAAUUCUUGGAUCUGCUAAAGACGGACAACUGCGAAAGCGUCUGCCCAGGAUGUUUUCAUUG